CCUACGGGAGGCUGCAGUGAGGAAUAUUGGUCAAUGGGCGCGAGCCUGAACCAGCCAAGUCGCGUGAGGGAUGACGGCCCUACGGGUUGUAAACCUCUUUUGCCGGGGAGCAACGGGCGCCACGUGUGGCGCCACUGAGAGUACCCGGAGAAAAAGCAUCGGCUAACUCCGUGCCAGCAGCCGCGGUAAUACGGAGGAUGCGAGCGUUAUCCGGAUUGAUUGGGUUUAAAGGGUGCGUAGGCGGAUCGUUAAGUCAGUGGUCAAAUUGAGGGGCUCAACCCCUUCCCGCCAUUGAAACUGGCGCUCUUGAGUGGAAGAGAAGUAUGCGGAGUGCGGGGUGUAGCGGUGAAAUGCAUCGAUAUCACGCAGAACCCCGAUUGCGAGGGCAGCAUGCCGGCUUCCGACUGACGCUGAAGCACGAACGCGUGGGGAUCGAACAGGAUUCGCUACCCCCUAGUC
This 459-nucleotide ribosomal RNA is filed under the name uncultured bacterium. RNAcentral's name for it is "partial 16S ribosomal RNA". It matches the Rfam family "Bacterial small subunit ribosomal RNA", at positions 338 to 795 of the family's 1533-position model. The record is from RNAcentral.